GCUUGUCUAGCUCAGUCGGUAGAGCACAAGACUUUUAACCUUAUGAUCGUGGGUUCAAGCCCCACGGUGGGCG
Molecule: transfer RNA, 73 nt
Filed under: Zea mays
Lineage: Eukaryota; Viridiplantae; Streptophyta; Magnoliopsida; Poales; Poaceae
Rfam family: tRNA
About the family: Transfer RNA (tRNA) molecules are approximately 80 nucleotides in length.
Source: Rfam by way of RNAcentral